This 370-nucleotide ribosomal RNA is filed under the name uncultured prokaryote. RNAcentral describes it as "partial 16S ribosomal RNA". The record is from RNAcentral.
CCCUAUGGGGCGCACAGUGAAAGGCCAGUCUUUGACAAAAACAAAAUCGUGACCCAUGUUUUGCUUGACGUAUUCACCCAAUGCGCGUUCCGCCCCGGGGUCAAGGUCGCCCUUGCGUUCGGGGGGCAGCUUGUAAUCCAAGCCCUUCAGGAUUUGAUAGGCUUCCGACAUGGUCAGGCGUGGGAAGGGCAGGGAAGGCACUUCGAAGUCGACGUCGAAAUUUUCCUUGAUGGCGUCAUGGAACUUGGAAUCAACUGCCUGGUAAACAUAUGCCAGCCAUUUUUCCGUGAAAGCCAUGACAUCUUCGUGGCUGUCGAUCCAGGAGAUCUCAAAGUCCACGCCGGUGAACUCGGUCAUGUGGCGGGAGGGC